UAGGGAAUCUUCCACAAUGGACGAAAGUCUGAUGGAGCAACGCCGCGUGAGUGAUGAAGGGUUUCGGCUCGUAAAACUCUGUUGUUGGAGAAGAACAGGUGUGAGAGUAACUGUUCACAUCUUGACGGUAUCCAACCAGAAAGCCACGGCUAACUACGUGCCAGCAGCCGCGGUAAUACGUAGGUGGCAAGCGUUGUCCGGAUUUAUUGGGCGUAAAGCGAGCGCAGGCGGUUUCUUAGGUCUGAUGUGAAAGCCUUCGGCUUAACCGGAGAAGUGCAUCGGAAACCAGGAGACUUGAGUGCAGAAGAGGACAGUGGAACUCCAUGUGUAGCGGUGAAAUGCGUAGAUAUAUGGAAGAACACCAGUGGCGAAGGCGGCUGUCUGGUCUGUAACUGACGCUGAGGCUCGAAAGCAUGGGUAGCGAACAGGAUUAGAUACCCUGGUAGUCCAUGCCGUAAACGAUGAGUGCUAAGUGUUGGA
This 480-nucleotide ribosomal RNA is filed under the name uncultured bacterium. RNAcentral describes it as "partial 16S ribosomal RNA". It matches the Rfam family "Bacterial small subunit ribosomal RNA", at positions 355 to 827 of the family's 1533-position model. The record is from RNAcentral.